Molecule: transfer RNA, 75 nt
Filed under: Cordylochernes scorpioides
Lineage: Eukaryota; Metazoa; Arthropoda; Arachnida; Pseudoscorpiones; Chernetidae
Description: tRNA-Thr
Rfam family: tRNA
About the family: Transfer RNA (tRNA) molecules are approximately 80 nucleotides in length. Their secondary structure includes four short double-helical elements and three loops (D, anti-codon, and T loops).
Source: RNAcentral
GUCCAGGGUAGCCUAGUGGUCAUGGGAUCUGCCCGGUAAGCGGAAGGUCGUGGGUUCGAUUCCCAUCCCUUGACA